RNAcentral lists this ribosomal RNA (446 nucleotides) under uncultured bacterium. RNAcentral describes it as "partial 16S ribosomal RNA". It matches the Rfam family "Bacterial small subunit ribosomal RNA", at positions 338 to 795 of the family's 1533-position model. The record is from RNAcentral.
CCUACGGGAGGCAGCAGUCGAGAAUCAUUCACAAUGGGGGAAACCCUGAUGGUGCGACGCCGCGUGGGGGAAUGAAGGUCUUCGGAUUGUAAACCCCUGUCAUGUGGGAGCAAAUUAAAAAGCUCGUACCCCAAGAGGAAGAGACGGCUAACUCUGUGCCAGCAGCCGCGGUAAUACAGAGGUCUCAAGCGUUGUUCGGAAUCACUGGGCGUAAAGCGUGCGGAGGCUGUUUCGUAAGUCGUGUGUGAAAGGCGCGGGCUCAACCCGCGGACGGCACAUGAUACUGCGAGACUAGAGUAAUGGAGGGGGAACCGGAAUGCUCGGUGUAGCAGUGAAAUGCGUAGAUAUCGAGAGGAACACUCGUGGCGAAGGCGGGUUCCUGGACAUUAACUGACGCUGAGGCACGAAGGCCAGGGGAGCGAAAGGGAUUAGAUACCCUGGUAGUC